This 497-nucleotide ribosomal RNA is filed under the name uncultured bacterium. RNAcentral's name for it is "partial 16S ribosomal RNA". It matches the Rfam family "Bacterial small subunit ribosomal RNA", at positions 28 to 507 of the family's 1533-position model. The record is from RNAcentral.
GACGAACGCUGGCGGCGUGCCUAAUACAUGCAAGUUGAGCGCUGAAGGUUGGUACUUGUACCAACUGGAUGAGCAGCGAACGGGUGAGUAACGCGUGGGGCAUCUGCCUUUGAGCGGGGGACAACAUCUGGAAACGAAUGCUAAUACCGCAUAAAAACUUUAAACACAAGAUUUAAGUUUGAAAGAUGCAAUUGCAUCACUCAAAGAUGAUCCCGCGUUGUAUUAGCUAGUUGGUGAGGUAAAGGCUCACCAAGGCGAUGAUACAUAGCCGACCUGAGAGGGUUGUCGGCCACAUUGGGACUGAGACACGGCCCAAACUCCUUCGGGGGGCAGCAGUAGGGAAUCUUUGGCAAUUGGCGAAAGGCUGACCGAACAACGCCGCGGUAGUGAAGAAGGGUUUCGGAUCGUAAAACUCUGUUUGUAGAGAAGAACGAUGGUGAGAGUGGAAAGCUCAUCAAGUGACGGUAACUACCCAGAAAGGGACGGCUAACUACGUG